This 116-nucleotide small nuclear RNA is filed under the name Carlito syrichta (Philippine tarsier). RNAcentral's name for it is "U5 spliceosomal RNA (ENSTSYG00000037262.1)". It matches the Rfam family "U5 spliceosomal RNA". Rfam says of the family: U5 RNA is a component of both types of known spliceosome. The record is from Rfam by way of RNAcentral. Lineage: Eukaryota; Metazoa; Chordata; Mammalia; Primates; Tarsiidae.
AUACUCUGGUUUCUCUUCAGAUCGUAUACAUCUUUUGCCUUUUACUAAAGAUUUCUGUGGAGCGGAACAAUUCUGAGUCUUAACCCAAUUUUUUGAGGCCUUGCAUCUGUAAGGCU